This 346-nucleotide transfer-messenger RNA is filed under the name Lachnospiraceae. RNAcentral describes it as "UBA2821 sp014799465 Standard tmRNA". It matches the Rfam family "transfer-messenger RNA". From Rfam's summary of the family: Bacterial tmRNA, also known as 10Sa RNA or SsrA, is named for its dual tRNA and mRNA-like properties. Its role is to liberate the mRNA from a stalled ribosome. To accomplish this part of the tmRNA is used as a reading frame that ends in a translation stop signal. RNAcentral also lists the same sequence under 1 other name. The record is from RNAcentral. Lineage: Bacteria; Bacillati; Bacillota; Clostridia; Lachnospirales.
GGGGUUGUACUGGUUUCGACGGGGUUUUUGAAGUUAUGGAAGCCAUCCGUGGACUAGGACCACGUAAAAACUUAGAAAAUAAAUAUAAACGCUAACGAAAAUUUAGCUUACGCUGCCUAGUUGCAGCUGUCAGCCUUAAGUCACCUGCUGCUUAAGAAUCUGGCAUCGACUUUGCAGGGAACUUCUUCGUCAAAGCUUUGAGACGUUGGAAGAAUUAUGAAGCUACCAAUUUUGCAGGUUUGUCAAUGAACCUGUGAUUGAGGGAAUAAUUAAUCAUUGACUGUGAUGGGAGAUGCCGUAAUGAAUGGAAUUUCGGACAGGGGUUCGAUUCCCCUCAGCUCCAUUG